This 74-nucleotide transfer RNA is filed under the name Alligator mississippiensis (American alligator). It matches the Rfam family "tRNA". From Rfam's summary of the family: Transfer RNA (tRNA) molecules are approximately 80 nucleotides in length. Their secondary structure includes four short double-helical elements and three loops (D, anti-codon, and T loops). The record is from Rfam by way of RNAcentral. Lineage: Eukaryota; Metazoa; Chordata; Crocodylia; Alligatoridae.
GUCUCUGUGGUGCAAUUGGCUAGCGUGUCUGGCUGUUAAUCAAAAGGUUGGUGGUUCAAGCCCACCCAAGGAUG